Molecule: ribosomal RNA, 175 nt
Filed under: Escherichia coli
Lineage: Bacteria; Pseudomonadati; Pseudomonadota; Gammaproteobacteria; Enterobacterales; Enterobacteriaceae
Also listed under: 1 other name
Description: partial 23S ribosomal RNA
Rfam family: Bacterial large subunit ribosomal RNA
Source: RNAcentral
CGGAAGAGAUAAGUGCUGAAAGCAUCUAAGCACGAAACUUGCCCCGAGAUGAGUUCUCCCUGACCCUUUAAGGGUCCUGAAGGAACGUUGAAGACGACGACGUUGAUAGGCCGGGUGUGUAAGCGCAGCGAUGCGUUGAGCUAACCGGUACUAAUGAACCGUGAGGCUUAACCUU